This 451-nucleotide ribosomal RNA is filed under the name uncultured bacterium. RNAcentral's name for it is "SSU rRNA". It matches the Rfam family "Bacterial small subunit ribosomal RNA", at positions 26 to 518 of the family's 1533-position model. The record is from RNAcentral.
AGAACGAACGCUGGCGGCAGGCUUAACACAUGCAAGUCGAACGCGUGUAGCAAUACACGAGUGGCGCACGGGUGAGUAACGCGUGGAUAUCUGCCUUUUGGUUCGGAAUAACCCCGGGAAACUGGGGCUAAUACCGGAUGGUUCCUACGGGAUAAAGAUUUAUCGCCAAAAGAUGAGUCCGCGUACGAUUAGCUAGUUGGUGAGGUAAUGGCUCACCAAGGCGACGAUCGUUAGCUGGUCUGAGAGGACGAUCAGCCACACUGGGACUGAGACACGGCCCAGACUCCUACGGGAGGCAGCAGUGGGGAAUAUUGGACAAUGGGGGCAACCCUGAUCCAGCCAUGCCGCGUGAGUGAUGAAGGCCUUCGGGUUGUAAAGUCUCUUUUGUGCGGGAAGAUAAUGACGGUACCGACAAGAAUAACGCCCCGGCUAACUUCGUGCCAGCAGCCGC